UUGUGCCCGAGGCCUUCUGGCCGAGGGCACGCCUGCUUGGGAGUC
Molecule: ribosomal RNA, 45 nt
Filed under: Kaempferia galanga
Lineage: Eukaryota; Viridiplantae; Streptophyta; Magnoliopsida; Zingiberales; Zingiberaceae
Description: partial 5.8S ribosomal RNA
Source: RNAcentral